CAGCAGCCGCGGUAAUACGUAGGUCCCGAGCGUUGUCCGGAUUUAUUGGGCGUAAAGCGAGCGCAGGCGGUUAGAUAAGUCUGAAGUUAAAGGCUGUGGCUUAACCAUAGUACGCUUUGGAAACUGUUUAACUUGAGUGCAAGAGGGGAGAGUGGAAUUCCAUGUGUAGCGGUGAAAUGCGUAGAUAUAUGGAGGAACACCGGUGGCGAAAGCGGCUCACUGGCUUGUAACUGACGCUGAGGCUCGAAAGCGUGGGGAGCAAACAGGAUUAGAGACCCCCGUAGUCCCUGUCUCUUAUACA
Molecule: ribosomal RNA, 301 nt
Filed under: uncultured bacterium
Lineage: Bacteria
Description: partial 16S ribosomal RNA
Rfam family: Bacterial small subunit ribosomal RNA
Source: RNAcentral